GGGAGAAAGAGCACCGCUUGCGUCUUUGUGACUGCUAAUCUCCAAGCUUCAUCAGAGUGUAAAUUGAUAGCUUCGAAAGAGAUUAGCAGCCACUGCAUAGAAUUUGUCACAUUGAAAGAUUUUUAAGCUGUAAUACUAUCUUCCGUUUAUGCUCUUUGGUUGUAGGUUACAACUGUUUCGUAAAGGAAAGAAGGAUACAUCAAUAGGAGAGGUAUAA
This 217-nucleotide long non-coding RNA is filed under the name Helianthus annuus (common sunflower). Its description in RNAcentral is "sRNA HanXRQr2_Chr01g0024461". Lineage: Eukaryota; Viridiplantae; Streptophyta; Magnoliopsida; Asterales; Asteraceae. The record is from RNAcentral.